AGCUUGCUCCUGGAUUCAGCGGCGGACGGGUGAGUAAUGCCUAGGAAUCUGCCUGGUAGUGGGGGAUAACGUCCGGAAACGGGCGCUAAUACCGCAUACGUCCUGAGGGAGAAAGUGGGGGAUCUUCGGACCUCACGCUAUCAGAUGAGCCUAGGUCGGAUUAGCUAGUUGGUGGGGUAAAGGCCUACCAAGGCGACGAUCCGUAACUGGUCUGAGAGGAUGAUCAGUCACACUGGAACUGAGACACGGUCCAGACUCCUACGGGAGGCAGCAGUGGGGAAUAUUGGACAAUGGGCGAAAGCCUGAUCCAGCCAUGCCGCGUGUGUGAAGAAGGUCUUCGGAUUGUAAAGCACUUUAAGUUGGGAGGAAGGGCAGUAAGUUAAUACCUUGCUGUUUUGACGUUACCAACAGAAUAAGCACCGGCUAACUUCGUGCCAGCAGCCGCGGUAAUACGAAGGGUGCAAGCGUUAAUCGGAAUUACUGGGCGUAAAGCGCGCGUAGGU
Molecule: ribosomal RNA, 503 nt
Filed under: uncultured Pseudomonadaceae bacterium
Lineage: Bacteria; Pseudomonadati; Pseudomonadota; Gammaproteobacteria; Pseudomonadales; Pseudomonadaceae
Description: SSU rRNA
Rfam family: Bacterial small subunit ribosomal RNA
Source: RNAcentral